Molecule: ribosomal RNA, 907 nt
Filed under: marine metagenome
Description: bacterial SSU rRNA
Rfam family: Bacterial small subunit ribosomal RNA
Source: RNAcentral
AGAGUUUGAUCAUGGCUCAGAUUGAACGCUGGCGGUAGGCUUAACACAUGCAAGUCGUGCGAGAAAGUAUCUUCGGAUAUGAGUAGAGCGGCGGACGGGUGAGUAACGCGUAGGAAUCUACCUAGUAGAAGGGGAUAGCCCGAGGAAACUCGGAUUAAUACCGUAUACCUCCUUUGGGAGAAAGAGGGCCUCUCUUUGAAGCUUUCGCUAUUAGAUGAGCCUGCGUAAGAUUAGCUUGUUGGUGAGGUAAAGGCUCACCAAGGCAACGAUCUUUAGCGGGUCUGAGAGGACGAUCCGCCACAUUGGGACUGAGACACGGCCCAGACUCCUACGGGAGGCAGCAGUGGGGAAUAUUGGACAAUGGGCGCAAGCCUGAUCCAGCCAUACCGCGUGUGUGAAGAAGGCCCUAGGGUUGUAAAGCACUUUAAGUUGGGAAGAAAAGUUAUUGGUUAAUACCCAAUAACCGUGACAUUACCAUCAGAAUAAGGACCGGCUAAUUCCGUGCCAGCAGCCGCGGUAAUACGGAAGGUCCAAGCGUUAAUCGGAAUUACUGGGCGUAAAGCGCGCGUAGGUGGUUUAUUAAGUUGGAUGUGAAAUCCCCGGGCUCAACCUGGGAACUGCAUCCAAAACUGAUUCACUAGAGUACGAUAGAGGGAGGUAGAAUUCACAGUGUAGCGGUGGAAUGCGUAGAUAUUGUGAAGAAUACCAAUGGCGAAGGCAGCCUCCUGGAUCUGUACUGACACUAAGGUGCGAAAGCGUGGGUAGCGAACAGGAUUAGAUACCCUGGUAGUCCACGCUGUAAACGAUGUCAACUAGCUGUUGGGAAGCUAUGCUUUUCAGUGGCGCAGCUAACGCAAUAAGUUGACCGCCUGGGGAGUACGGCCGCAAGGCUAAAACUCAAAUGAAU